UCUAUGCUAUUUGUUUUUUCCCCCAUUCAACAGAAUAUUGAGAGCUUAAAGGACUUGUUUGGACUAGUUUCCCGCCCUAGUUUGAACAAGGUGGAUGUAUUUUGUUGUUCACAUGGUACAAGUUUCUGAACUUUACAUACCAGAAUCGACCAAACACAUGUAACCAGAACUUGAUUGGCACAGUCUUCACUGAUGACUUUAUAUCUCGUCAGAAGUCAUUGGAGUCAGAAAAGACUUCUGGUGAACUUGCUGAGAUUCUCUUGAUUCGUUACUUAAAGGAUCAACAUAGUGUCCACACAAGUCGAACCACUGUGCUUUGUGCACUUCCUGUGUUGCUGAGAGAAGACACCUCAAGAUUCUUCAAAACAUGCGGGGUAAAUUGCUUUAUUCACACA
Long non-coding RNA from Myxocyprinus asiaticus (Chinese sucker), 395 nucleotides. RefSeq lists it as uncharacterized. The transcript has 3 exons. The record is from RefSeq and is a predicted model, not a curated record. NCBI's taxonomy places the organism in Eukaryota, Metazoa, Chordata, Actinopteri, Cypriniformes, Catostomidae.